This 478-nucleotide ribosomal RNA is filed under the name uncultured bacterium. Its description in RNAcentral is "partial 16S ribosomal RNA". It matches the Rfam family "Bacterial small subunit ribosomal RNA", at positions 28 to 507 of the family's 1533-position model. The record is from RNAcentral.
GACGAACGCUGGUGGCGUGCUUAACACAUGCAAGUCGAACGGGAUUUAGUAAACAGAAGCCUCGGUGGAAGGUUACUAAUGAGAGUGGCGAACGGGUGAGUAACGCGUGAGCAACCUGCCUAUGACAGUGGGAUAGCCUCGGGAAACCGGGAUUAAUACCGCAUAAAAUCGUAGAAACACAUGUUUUAACGGUCAAAGAUUUAUCGGUCAUAGAUGGGCUCGCGUCUGAUUAGCUAGUUGGUGAGAUAACAGCCCACCAAGGCGACGAUCAGUAGCCGGUCUGAGAGGAUGAACGGCCACAUUGGAACUGAGACACGGUCCAAACUCCUACGGGAGGCAGCAGUGGGGAAUAUUGCACAAUGGGGGAAACCCUGAUGCAGCGACGCCGCGUGAACGAAGAAGGUAUUCGUAUCGUAAAGUUCUGUCCUAUGGGAAGAUAAUGACAGUACCAUAGAAGAAAGCUCCGGCUAAAUACGUG